Patella vulgata (common limpet) is the source of this 10747-nucleotide RNA transcript. It is a transcript of the gene named lysophosphatidic acid phosphatase type 6, with no coding region annotated. The transcript has 12 exons. The record is from RefSeq and is a predicted model, not a curated record. Lineage: Eukaryota; Metazoa; Mollusca; Gastropoda; Patellidae.
UAUCUGCUGCUUUUAAAGAUAGAAAGGGAUUUCGAAUUGUAAACACGCGUGUACUUCAAGGUUUCUUUUAUUUUAAUACCUUGAAGUUUUAUGUGACAUUUUUUGACGUUACAGUGAAGUGAGAAAUUAACCAUGCAGUGGAAUAACGGUUUUAAAAUUUCAGGCGCAAUAGCAACAAGUUCAGGGAUAUGUUAUUUUUUUAAGAAACAUUUUAAUUUUGUUCGGGCCUCGGAAUUUGACAAUAAUAAUAAUGUGAAUAACAAUAAUGAUGAUAAUGCAGGUUUAAAUGGUCGAAGUGAUCUGAAAUUAAAACAUGUUCAAGUGUAUUUCAGACAUGGCGCAAGGACUCCUAUACAUGUAGUUCCAAGUUUAGGAGAGGUCAGUUAUAGUGAAAACGAUAUAUUAGGAGAUGUAACAAAGACAUUAUUUGACAUUCAAGUUGUUGAUCUGGAUGCUGGAGGAGAACCAGAAGUUUCACCUAUUCAAAGAAGUUACGAAAAAAGAAGGCUUAAGGGUGGAGGUCUGCCUGGUUCUUUAACAUGUUAUGGUCAAGAGCAGAUGUUUGAUUUAGGUAGAAAUAUGCGACAAGACUAUGCUUCAUUUCUUCCUAGAGAAUUUGAUCCAGAUGAUAUUUAUGUUCGAUCCACUAACAUACAUCGUACUAUAGCAUCUCUACGUUGUGUAUUAGCUGGUCUUUAUGGUAGUGAAGAAUUAAAUGCCAAAGGUCCCAUAACUAUCCCAGUAUCUCGUACACAAUCGGAGAUAUUAUUUCCUAAUGGUCAUAAUUGUCCAGUUGUACGCCAGAUAAAUCAUGCUUCCAUGAUACAUUUUGAUGAUAUUCCUGGCUUUAAGGAAGAUAGGAAAAAACUGGAAAAUAUACUUGGUAUAGAUUCUGAACAUGGUAGUAGAAAAUUGAACUUUAUAUUUGUAAGAGAUGAUAUUGUUGCUAGAGUGACCCAUGGUUAUCCCAUGCCAAAUAUUAUAAAACCCUUUCUAGAUAUGAUUGAAAAAAAUGCUAUCAAGAUGAUGUACUAUGCUUUUUGUGGACAAUCUGAAGCAGAGCGAAAAGUAGGAUUAAGACUAACUACAGGUUUGGCAGUUGGUGCUAAUUUAGAUAGAAUGGAAGAAACAGUACAGGGCAAAAGAAAACACAAGAUGUGUCUUUAUUCUACCCAUGAUUCAACUCUUGUCGCUCUCUUGGCAUCUUUUGACAUUUUCGAUCAUACAUGGCCACCAUUUGCAGCAGAUCUAAGACUAGAAUUAUAUGAAGAUAGUAAUGGACGGCACUGGGUGAAAGUCUUGUAUUGUGGAAAGGAACAAAUUACAAGAGGAAAUACAAAGGUUUUGGUUCCAUAUGAAGAAUUUAAAGAGAAUAUGAAACCUAUGACUAUAGAGAAGAAAGAAUAUGAUAAAAUAUGUAAAUCUAAAAUAUUAGAAGAAAUAGCAAAUGCUCUGCUAGUUCAUGAGAAAGAUGAAGUAGAAGAUGAAGAAGAUAAAGAAGACUCUGAUAAACCAGCAGGAAUGUAAUGAUAGCAUCUUUUAGGAAAAUAACAAAUUGUAACAAAUGGUAUAACCUUUGAUCGGUGCUCUUUAUGACUUUGUUAAAAAAGUUUAGUCUUAGGAAAUUGAAAUGUUCAAUGAUUAUAUAUUGUUUAAUGGUCGAGAGCGAGACAUUAAGUAAUAUAUUUAAACAACAAGAGGGCCGUAGGCCCGAGUGUUUUUACAAUAUAUUACGCAAUGUCUUAAGCACGAGACCAUUAAACAACUUAAAAUACAGACACUCCGCACAUGCUUUUAUAGUGAAAUACGUCACGUGAGUCCAAUAUUUCACUAGUAUAGAUAAUGUACGAUUGGCAAGUUGCCCGUACGAUUAUUUGAAAUAAUGGUACACCAACAUCAAAGGGUGACGUCACAUCUGUAUUUUAAGUGUAUUUAAAAAAAUAAUUUAUAUUGCCAUAGGUUAAAUAAUCAAUAUUCCCUGUGAUUUGUGUACUAGUAUUUAUUCCCUUUUUCAAAUUCAUUAUGGUAUUAUUAGAUAAUAUCAAUGAAUAUAAAAUAAGAACUUUGCUGGUUGCAGUGGACGCUCUAGAGGCAUGAGACAAAGAAGCCUAUUGAUUUUCAGCGAUUUCAGAUGAUUACUGCCAGAGUUAUGGCCCUUGAUCACUUUGAAAAAUCUUGUUGACGCUCUAGAGGCUAAAGUUAUACACAGUGUUUAAGGUAAUGAGACGAAGAAGCCUAUUGAUUUUCAACGCUAUCCGAUAAUUACUGUCAGAGUUAUGGCCCUUAAUCACUUUGCAAAAUCUUGUGGAUGCUUUAGAGACCAUAGUUAUAUUUUUACACCGUGGUUACGCCUAUAUAUAAUCAUUUCGAUUGACUUUAGAUUGAUACACAGAGUCUUGAGACGAACAAGUAUAUUGAUUUUUAAUGAUUUUUGGUAACUUGAACAGCUAAAUCCAUGAUAUUAAAUGUUUUGUAUACUAAACGUCAGCAUGGGCCAAACAAAUUCUAAUGAUUUUUUGAUAAUUACUUAAUGAGUUGUUACUCUUAAUCAGAUUUUAGUGUAUUAUUAAUGUUUCAUUACCAACAAAAGUAAAAAUAGUGUUGACUGCCCAGACGAUUUAGCUGCUGUGGGCGUAUGUUUCGUUGCCUGGCAACCUAUCUUUUAUUAUAGGUCCCACCCCCCCAUUGAUAUUUUGAUAUUUUGUCUGUAAAUGAUAUACAGGUGCAAUUAUUAACAGAUUUGGAUCCAAUUCGGAGUGAUCCAGCAUAGGGUUUUACCUAUAUAUACUCUUCAAAAAAAGUAGGGGAUAUUGAAAUGCAAAUACCUAUGCAGGUUGUGAUAUGAUAAAUAGUCAUAGACACUUGACAUGCUUUGAGAGCAUGUUCACAAAUGAAGAACUUAUCGCCCAAUCAUAACCACUGAGCUGCAUGUGCGACACGCAAUCGUGCCAUACACGUGGCAGGGAUUCAUUGUCAAAGUUGACACUUCAAGGAAGGGUUGAUGAAAACUGCCUCUUGCUGGUUUUUUCCUAUCCAUGUUUGCUUUCCGAUCGGUUCGUGCAUAAAAUUUACUGUUUAGCAUAUCUUUGCUUUAGUGUGUUAUGUUUAAUUUGAUCAGCAGACGUGUUCGUCGACGUCAAUGUCAACCGACAACACUGCAAGAAUUUGCCGUGGCACUGCAAGAGGAGUGGGUCAGAUUGCCCCAAAUCGGGAUUGGACGGUUGAUUAGGAGCAUGCCACGACGAAUUGCUGAAUGUCUGAGGAUUGGUGGAGCAAUUACUCAUUAUUACAAAAAUCAAAAACGUCCAUUUUCACUUUUGACAGUGUAUCUCUUUUCGAGUAAAAUGGAGCCGUCAGAUAAGCUGCCCAUAUGAACUGUUAAUGUUCAUGGUUACCUCUAAUAAAAACAGCAGUGCAUUUCCGCAGUUUUGUAUUAUCCCCUACUUUUUUUGAAGAGUAUAUAUUGGUCUAUGUCCAACCUCCAUGGGCAGAGCCACGCCCAAUGUUUGUAUUUUUUUUUAUUCUACAAGCUAGAAUUCUAAACGGAUCAUUUUGAAACUUGGCAUAUUUAUUCCUUAUACUGUAAGGAUAGCAAAUAUUUAUUUUGGUCCAUGUCCCGACCCCCAGGCGUGUGGGACCACACCCACUUUUUUGUUAGUUUUUAUCUGUAAUUACUCUACACUUUGCAAUAAUUAACAGAUUUGUUCAAAUUCAGCAUAUCAAUCAUUUCAAUAACAAGGGAAGAGCCUCACCCAAUUUUUGUAUUUAUCGUCUACAGACUGCAAUUCUGAAUGGAUCAUCUUGGAACUUUGCAUAUUUAUUCCUUAUACCGUAAAGACAGUAACUAUUUUGUUAAUAUUUUAUCUGUAACUUUGGCAAAACAAACCCAACGUCUAGCCUUCUUUGCCUCUUGUCAUAUUACAGCCAUUUUAUAUUUCAUUCUCUUCAUUUUAAAAAGUACCAUAUCAAUCAAAGUAAUAGCCCCCCCCCCCCCCUUGCCAUGAGUAAUUGUAAACAUCUCUAUCCAGGAUAGAAUUCACAGCCUUUAUUCUACUGAAAGCUUCAACUUCAAUCUCCAUUGCAUGUGUUUGUAACAUUAGAAAUCAAGUAAAAAAGUCUGCAGUGGAUAAAGACACCUUUUAAUGGGAAAAUACGAUGUAACACCCAGUCCUUGAGAACAUGAUUGGUAGUUGAUUUAGCAGACCUGGAGUGUUUUGGGGAGAACCAUAAGAACAAAUAACGAUGUUAAAGGUCAAAGAUAAUCCAACAUUACGACAAGCUAAGUACAAAUUUACUACAACCUAUAACAUUUACUAAUAUUAUAAGCGGGCGGCUUAUUGUUUCAGUAAUUUGACUUCGAAAUCUCAAUUAAAAUUUCGAGUUAUUCACAAGACUUUAUUUGUCAAUUUAGAAUCAAUAUGGCGGCCAUGAAUACAAAAUGUUCAAGCUAUGUUGAAUGUGUUUUAAAAACACCACUUCCUAACUGUUUUAAAACGGUAGGCAGUCGUAAACAUACCGAUAAACUAAUCACUAAUAAAUACACCGAAGUGGUCAUCGUUAAGCCAAAAGACUAUACAAAAUCUAUAGCUUUCAAAAACUAAAACGAUCGGCGACGAAAUCAAAAGCAAAUGGGGAAUAAAAGACACUCCCGAAAUUAAAAUAUUGAAAAAUGGGAACGUUCGACUGGCGUUUGAAAAUGCCAUUGAUGCAGAAAUGGCAUGCAAGAUCGAACAACUAAACGGAGUAGAUGUGGUAAUAGCCCCACCCCUAUCUCAGGUGCAGGGUAUUGUACAUGCUAUCCCAUGUGAAUACACAAACGAAGAAAUCUUAGACGACCUUCAAUCCAAUGGGUAUGAAGUAAUAAGUGUACAUAGGUAUAGAAUCCCAGAUGGCAAAAAAUCAGGAACCGUACAAGUCACGUCAGGUCACGGAAAAAGUAAAAUUAGGUUUUCAGAUUAGAACAGUAUACCCGUAUAUUCCCAGUGUCAAAAUAUGUAGAAACUGUCAAAAGUUUGGACAUAAUGAGUCUCAUUGUAAGGUGAAAACUGCGUGCGAGAAAUGUUCAGACUCGCACGCCAGUAACACCUGCUCAUCUGAAAUAUUAAAAUGUGCAAACUGUGGCGAAAACCACAAGUCAACUGACAAAACUUGCACCAAAUUUAUUGAAAUAGCAGAAAUUCUUAAAAUUCAAUACUCUAAAAACAUUUCAUUUAAGGAAGCAAACUUAUUUUUAACGUCAUCCAGGAAUACACGAGGAGGGGGCGUUGAGAGACAAAAUAUAUUUACUGAUAAAUUAAAUCUAGAUAACGAUAAACCAAAUCGCAUAAUUACUACACCCCAACACUUGGUGUAAUUACUUGUAUAAAUAACUCAACGGACAAGGACUCUAGCUGUUAUUAACAUUAUUGAACAGAGUGCAAAAAGGUUUAUUAUUGACAACCAUCUAGAAAUAGAUAGCACAAUCCCUAUUCAAGCGGUUAACAAUACUCAGAAAGCUGAAUCGGAUAUUCAGGUUUGUGAGGACAUGUUAUCUGACAACUCAGAUGAUGAUUACAUCUCACAUGCGGCAAAAAAGAAGAAAGUAUCUAACAAUCGCCCAACCAUAGACCCAGUCGAACGAAGGGAAAGCAAAUCCCCAUUGAAAAGGAAAGUACCCAAACGAACAACGGUCGUGUCUGUUCAUGCCGAGGCGACAUCGAAUAAAGGACAUGUACAUAAAAAUAAGAAGAAUCCUAAAGCUAAUGACAAAAUACAGAAGAAAAAUACUAGCGACUAUUCAAACUGGCUCAUUAAUAAGAAUUAAACCUCUCCGGUCAAAUAAUCCAAUAACUUAUAAUAAGUACUAAUGUUGUCAGACCACGUUUGACAGAAUUGAACCUCCUGGUUAGCAAAUCCAAAAUUGACAUAAUAUGCAUACAGGAAACAAAAUUAGGUCCAAAGCAGAAGGGCCCAAAACGUAAUGGGUACACACUUUUGCGGAAAGAUCGUAUUAAUCUCACAAAAGGGGUUUCUGGGGGCGUUGCAAUAUUCGUGAGUGAACAACUCUCAUAUAAGUUUAUUAGAAAUGACUCUGGUGAAGUAGAGGUAAUCGGGUUAGAAUUAGCUACAACCGACAAACACAAUAUAACCGUAGUUAACAUUUAUAAUCCGUAUAAAAUCUUUGAGGAAGAAGCGUAUCAAAAAAAUAUAUGAUCAAUUAAAAACUAAAGACAUUAUUAUAUGUGGAGAUUUUAACAGUCACCACUCCACCUGGGGCCCCCCUCUUAAUAAUAAUGCCGGGAAUAAACUGAAUAAUUUCAUUGAAAAUUCUAAUUUGGUUCUACUAAAUAACGGUGACCCAACAUAUAUCGGUUCUGGCAACAAAGUGGGUGCAACCCACCUUGAUCUUACCCUAACAUCUCCCAGUUAAGCUUUAAACUGUAAGUGGCAAGUCAUAAAUAAUACGCUAGGUAGUGAUCAUCUAAUAGUCUUAACUGAAAUAAACUCGAACGUAAACAAAGAACUAGUCACGUGCAAACAAAGAUGGAAACUUCAACACGCAAACUGGGUUCUUUUUCAACACUACUGUGAAGAAAUCGGCCCAAGCGCAGUUAGACACGAUGAUAUAAAAAUAUAUUUACCGAUAAUAUUUUGCGUGCGAUCUUAAGUGUAGCAGAAGGUUCAAUUCCCAGAACAACAGAUGGGAAAACUAAAGGCGCCUCAAAACCUUGGUGGUCCCCAGAAUUUCAAACAGCCGUAAAUGCAAGGAAAAAAUCACAUAAAAAACUAUUCCGCGUCUGGUCCUCAGAGAAUAAAUCUUUGUAUACUAAGUGCGAUGCAAACGCCAGACAGGUCAUUUCACAGGCAAAAGAAAAGCAUUGGAUGGCAUUCUGUGAUAGUACUAAUGAUAAAACUAAAAUUUCAAAUGUCUGGGAAAAAAUACACGCAAUAAGCGGCAAAUGUUUUUCUAGAAAUAUUCCUACGCUUAAUUAUGAAUCCCAAUCAGCCAUGGCAAAUUGCGAAAAGGCGGAGCUGUUAGCAAAAACAUUUGCUGAUGGCAGUAGCGAUAAAAAUCACAACGACAAAUUCUUAAAACAAAAGUCGGAAUUUCAUUGCAAUAAACCAUCGCGUAACUCUGCAGAUGAACACAAAGAAAUUAACUCACCCUUUACCCUAGACUCGGGCCUAGAGGAAAUGCAUAAAGGUUUAAGUGGCAAAAUUAUUACUGUGAAAGUAAUGGAUCAAUCAGUCCAAACCAAAGUGGAUAUAGACAGCAGCGCUCCACUAUUGAUCAUAUUGUAAGGUUACAGCGUGACAUCAUGACUUCACUAUCUAAAAAGAACAAUUAUCUAUGUGCAGUAUUCGUCGAACUGGCCAAGGCAUUUGACUUAGUUUGGGUGGAUGGCCUACUCAAAAAAGUACAUGGACUAGGGGUAACAGGACGAAUGUUCCACUGGAUCGAUGAUUUUCUAAGCGAUAGGCAAAUACAAGUUAAUGUAGGUCUCUCAAUAAGCAACAAAUACGAACUGGAAAUUGCACACCCCAGGGUUCUGUUAUAAGCCCCACCCUCUUUAAUAUCAUGAUUAAUGACCUUCAGUCUAAUAACUACAUUAAGAAACUUAUUGACGUAGCGGUUUAUGCUGACGACAGUUCAAUCUGGCACGCAGUGAAUAACUACGGUACGGUUAGAACGAGAAUGCAAGAAGCCUUAGACAAAUUGUGGAAAUGGUCUAAUGACUGGGGAUUUCGUAUAUCUGAAAGUAAAACAGUACGCAUGCUCUUCUGUAGGGAUCAUAGGGAAGUGUCAUCUAUGAAACUGGAAUUGAACAAUAGCCAAAUUAAAUUUAAAGAUCAGGCAAAGCUUCAUGGGGUGACCUUUGAUCGCAAAAUGACUUUUAUACCACAUAUUGAAAAUAUUGUUAAACGAGGACAAAGUUCUUAACGUAAUGAGAUGUAUGACGGGCAUAUCAUGGGAGCAAACAAAACGACCCUGCUAAUGAUAUAUAGGUCCAUGAUAAGAUCAAUAUGUGGCUAUGGUUGUGUCGCUUUUGCAAGUGCAAAUAAAACAGCUCUUGCUAAACUAGACAGUUUACAAUAUCAGGCAAUAAGGAUAGCAACGAAAGCUUCAUUUGGCACAAAAAGGGAAAGUAUUUUGCAGGAAGUAGUUGAAAUAUCAUUCGAAUGGAGGCGAAACGAACUGACAUUGAGAUACUGGGCCAAGUUACAGUAUCUUGGGGACAGCUGUCUAACAUUUAAGUGUACAAAAACAUCAAGGAGAAAAUUCAAAAGAAAUGUCAAAUCAGAGACUCAGUCGUUCGGUCACAGAGCAAAUAUCUAUUAAAAAACCUAAGAUUAGAUCACUAUCAGAUUACUGACAGGGUAUUUUCGUAUCAAGUCCCAUGGACUUUUUUUAAAUCCAAACUAUGCCAUAAGCCUAGGUAACGUUGUCAAGAAAAAAGAAAAUCCCCAACAAGCUCUAUUGCUAUCAAGGGAAUUCGUGAACAGAAAAUGGUCAUCGCAUGUGAAAAUAUACACGGACGGGUCUCACGAUCCAAACACUACCAAUAAUUUAAUAUUAAUAUAUCGAAAAGGCUAUAUAUAUAUAUAGCAGAACUAAAGGCAAUAUCCGCAGCCCUUGUAUGGCUCGUGUCAUCCACCAUUCAAAGAGCAGUCAUUGUGUCAGGCUCCCUUAGCAGCAUAAAGUCAAUAAUACAUGACAAAAAAACACCUAGACCAGAAAUUGUUCAGAAUAUUCGAGCAAGUGUUUAUUCCCUCCGAAACAAAAAUAAAACCGUAGAAUUUACAUGGAUACCAUCCCAUGUUGGCAUAGCAGGCAAUGAGUCCGCAGACAAUCUGGCUCGCAAAGGACUCGGCCUCUGCGAGACCGAAUACUUAAAAUAUAGCGUUCAGGAAUUUAAUAGCAUCGUCAAAACUAAAAUUAAAUCACAAUGGAAAAUUGAGUUGGCCCUAGCAAAUACGUUUAGAUUCAAUUUAAACAACGAUCUGGUUUUACAGACGGAGAUUAAUCACCCAUCGCGCAAAAUUUGUGUGUUAUUCACAAGAUUAAGAACUAAAGAUUUAAUUACCGACCAUAAAUUCAACCCAGUGAAGUGCGAAUGUGGCCACAAUUUGACCGUUAAUCAUGUUAUCACUGCGUACAAUAAAUUGGAAAAGAAAAGACGUUUAAUGGAAAAUGCCAAACUUCAAUAUACCCUCCAAAAUGUACUCUUCCCCCCUCGGAAUAUGUCAUAUAAAAUUUAUGAAGCUAUCUCAAACUUCAUAGCAGAAUCGGGAAUUAACUGUUAAAUUAGUUGCGUUAAAAUAGCACUAGUCAAAGAAAGAUAACUGGUUGUGUAGACCAGGUUGACCCCUAAGCCACUUGGAUGCUUUAAUAAGAUAGGGGACUACAUAUCUAGUUACAAAAAAGGAACUAUUGCUAUAGGACAGUAGAGCGGUUCAGCCUGCUGUAUAGUUUACUAUAAUAAUAUACAUGUACUAAGGAAAAAUAAUGACAAAAUACAGGAAUAGGGACCUACAUAACCAUUAUUAACAAUGACAGUGCACAUCAAUCAAUUUAAUUUAACAUGUGUUUAAAAAUUUAUUUACUUCUAUAAAUGGUUCAAUUUGUCUUUGUUGCUGCUGACUCUUCUUUUUCUUUUCAGGUAACUUUUUUACGCAAGGAAAACUCUAAUGUAAUGCCUACAACUUUUAAACUUUUAAGUCCUGAACUCAUUAAUUUUUAACAAUAUGGAACUUAUUGGACGAACACUUUUAAUAUGUAAAAAAUCUACGGGUCCAGCUAUGUGGUUUUUACUUCGAGCACUUCGCUUUUCCGCAUAAAGCCAGCGGAUUCUUUUUCCCCACGGGGGUUUUUCUAUCCGCUCUGAUGACUCGCCCUCUCUUUUCAUGACGGCGAAUUUUUAAGUGUGCUUUAAGGAACUUUUGGUAUCCGAGGACCCUUUUUUUUUGCUUUUUUUUUAAUUUGUGUUUUUAACAAUUUUUCAAGUGUAAAUAAUUUAAUUAAAUCAACCUGUCCAUAGUAUCAUAUUCAUUGUAUUGGACGUUAAAUCUGUAAUAGACAACAACAACAACAUGUCUUGCCCAGUAGCAGGGGAGUCGAGUUGUAUCAGCAGAGGUAAAACUGAGAUUAUUUCUCCAGUCGAUUUCACCGACGAGUUUGACCCCGAUACAGAGAGCCCCUUUUAGGAGGGUUAUAGAGAGAGCGAUACAGAGAGCCCUUUUAGGAGCGUUAUAGAGAGUCCGAUAGGGAGCGUCACAGAGAGCCCUUUUGUAGGAGCGUUAAGAUUGUCGAGCUCUGAGAGAGCCAUUUUGAGAGCCAAUGAAGUGUAUACAUAGAGCAGCGGUUCUCAACCUUUUUUUGCCAACGGCACACCCUGCAACACAUGAAAAAAUAGCGGCAUACCUGGCUAAAUAUAUAUGAAAAAUAUUUGAAUUUUGCAAAAAAAAAACAACGAAAGUCAUAGACGGCAUAGAACCGUAGACACGCUGUUAAAAAUAAAUGUAAAAUUACAGUGAAAACGCUGUAAAAAUACCACUGCAUGUUUUUAUACUAUAAAUUUACUGUAUUAGUGAGGUAACAUGGGAUUACUGUAAAAAAAAUUGGUAAAUUAACAAUAAAAGUAUAGUUUUACAAGUUAGAACUGUAUUGUUAUUACACGUAAUCUGUAUUGAUACAACUAUGUUGGUUAAAAGGACAUGUAUGUUGUACUUUAUCAGUUUUUAUGGGUAAUGACUGUUCGGACUCAUC